AGAAGAUGCCUCCGCUUGAGCCUGUUUCUGGAUACUCUUUCCUCCAUGGACGCCCAGUUUCUGAGAACACAAAUACAGAGACAGUCACUGCCGAUGUUCUAUGCAGACCGAGCUAUGACUUGCGGGGACAUGUCAUCUACAAAAAAAGUGCAGGUCGGAGUUCCAAAUGGCUGGAUUUCCCAAAGAGCCACAUCCUGGGAGUAUCAAUGAGAACACCAUAGGGCUGUUUAUUUGGUGCAUGCUAGGUUAGAGGGUCCCUGCCGCUGAGAGGAUGACGACAGGAAGAGGAUGCCAUAGUGGUAAAUUCAUGACAGUAUUUGAUAUCAUUUAGCGCACUCAAAAUGUGAGAGGAAGCUAUGCAUUGCUACCAAGGAAAAUUUACUGCAAUUAUCUUAGUUUGUCAUCUAAAGUAUAUAUUUACUAAAGGAUGCACAUGAGAAAUCAGGAAUCGGUGCAACCAAAAUCAGUCCCGAUGUUCAUGUCUCUAUUGAUUUCCUAUGAGAUAGAACAGCAUUUUUUGCUUAAUGUGAAAUGGAGCGGUUACUUUAUUUGUGGCAGCUGGUGUUUGGAAAUCAUCUUAUCUUACUUGUUAAUGUCAUGAGCUUCUCACACUUUUUGUAUGAGUUGUUUGUUUUAAUACUUAGUAACGGCUCACAGCGAGCGAUGUUUACGCUAGAAAUCAGAGUUUAUUCACUUUGCUGCACAUACUGUGGAAACAUCUUUUUCUCAGGGCUGUUUACGAUUUUUCGAAAGUUCUGGUCUUAUUGUUUGGUGGGUUUUGGAUAAAUUCCAGGGGUUUUCUUGAGAAAUUAUGUUCAUGAUGUUGUGUUUUUUUGUGCAUAGAAAGGGAAGUAAAUGAGAUUUGACACAUGAUGGAACAGUGACUGACAAGUCAGAUUACUGGUCUCAGCUAUGCUCAGGAACAGCAGGGUAUGGGCAAUGGCUCUCUACUGACCAAGACAAACACAGCUUAAAAGAUCCAUAGCAUUAAAUGGAGACUGGAAGGGUGACUGAUCACAAGCAGUCACUAUUGAGCAAAUAUGAAAAAUGAUGGUUAGAUUUACUCCUGAAAAGUAUAUUACACUGGGGAGAAAUCCAUUCCAUUUCAAAUAUACAUAUGAUAAAAUAAUUCAAUUUUAUGUUCUAGUGUAAUGUGUAUGACAUACUGUACAGGUAUGGUAAAGGAUUUAAAUUUUUACAAUGUA
Molecule: long non-coding RNA, 1205 nt
Organism: Carassius gibelio (silver crucian carp)
Lineage: Eukaryota; Metazoa; Chordata; Actinopteri; Cypriniformes; Cyprinidae
Exons: 3
Source: RefSeq, a predicted model, not a curated record